This 85-nucleotide ribosomal RNA is filed under the name Disa sagittalis. RNAcentral describes it as "partial 25S ribosomal RNA". It matches the Rfam family "Eukaryotic large subunit ribosomal RNA", at positions 1 to 82 of the family's 3401-position model. Lineage: Eukaryota; Viridiplantae; Streptophyta; Magnoliopsida; Asparagales; Orchidaceae. The record is from RNAcentral.
AUGCGACCCCAGGAUGGGCGGGGUGACCUGCUGAGUUUAAGCAUAUCAAUAAGCGGAGGAGAAGAAACUUACAAGGAUUCCCCUA